Molecule: small RNA, 93 nt
Filed under: Sinorhizobium meliloti 2011
Lineage: Bacteria; Pseudomonadati; Pseudomonadota; Alphaproteobacteria; Hyphomicrobiales; Rhizobiaceae
Description: putative ncRNA
Source: RNAcentral
GUCGAAAAGGUGCGCGUGACUUCGAGCGGCACACCAUGAUCCGCAAAACCGAUCUUGACCGAAGUUCCCCCGAUUUCGGCAACGGCGAUCGUU